GUAACCUGCCUUAUAGUGGGGGAGUAGCCUUUCGAAAGGAAGAUUAAUACCGCAUAAGAUUGUAGUAUCGCAUGAUAUAGCAAUUAAAGGAGCAAUCCGCUAUAAGAUGGACCCGCGUCGCAUUAGCUAGUUGGUGAGGUGAUGGCUCACCAAGGCGACGAUGCGUAGCCGACCUGAGAGGGUGAUCGGCCACAUUGGGACUGAGACACGGCCCAGACUCCUACGGGAGGCAGCAUG
Molecule: ribosomal RNA, 237 nt
Filed under: uncultured bacterium
Lineage: Bacteria
Description: partial 16S ribosomal RNA
Rfam family: Bacterial small subunit ribosomal RNA
Source: RNAcentral